UACGGGGGGGGCAAGCGUUGUUCGGAAUUACUGGGCGUAAAGGGCUCGUAGGCGGCCAACUAAGUCAGACGUGAAAUCCCUCGGCUUAACCGGGGAACUGCGUCUGAUACUGGAUGGCUCGAGAUUGGGAGAGGGAUGCGGAAUUCCUGGUGUAGCGGUGAAAUGCGCGGAUAUCAGGAGGAACACCGAUGGCGAAGGCGGGUCUCUGGGCAUUAACUGACGCUGAGGAGCGAAAGCAUGGGGAGCGAACAGG
Molecule: ribosomal RNA, 253 nt
Filed under: uncultured bacterium
Lineage: Bacteria
Description: partial 16S ribosomal RNA
Rfam family: Bacterial small subunit ribosomal RNA
Source: RNAcentral